This 253-nucleotide ribosomal RNA is filed under the name uncultured bacterium. RNAcentral's name for it is "partial 16S ribosomal RNA". It matches the Rfam family "Bacterial small subunit ribosomal RNA", at positions 524 to 776 of the family's 1533-position model. The record is from RNAcentral.
UACAGAGGUGGCAAGCGUUGUUCGGAAUUACUGGGCGUAAAGGGCGCGUAGGCGGUCUUGUAAGUCCCGUGUGAAAUCCCUCGGCUCAACUGAGGAACUGCACGGGAAACUGCCUGACUUGAGUUCGGGAGAGGGAAGCGGAAUUCCGGGUGUAGCGGUGAAAUGCGUAGAUAUCCGGAGGAGCACCGGUGGCGAAGGCGGCUUCCUGGACCGACACUGACGCUGAGGCGCGAAAGCUAGGGGAGCAAACGGG